Xenia sp. Carnegie-2017 is the source of this 356-nucleotide long non-coding RNA. RefSeq lists it as uncharacterized. The record is from RefSeq and is a predicted model, not a curated record. The transcript is spliced from 3 exons. Lineage: Eukaryota; Metazoa; Cnidaria; Anthozoa; Malacalcyonacea; Xeniidae.
GAAAAGAAUCCAGUCACAUCAACUGGUGCUCCGUUGACAUCGGAAAUUACAGGUACCGAUGACUUUCAAUUCUUCAAAAAAAAAUUUCUCACCGACGAUUUCAAAAUGAGCAAUGACGUGCAUAAGAAAUUGAAAAGCUUUGAUUGGUUUUGUGGAAAAUGUGGAACAGCGGGUCCAACUGACCAGAUGCCAUAUCUUCACUUGUACAUGGUCGUUGAUUACGCUAACGGAAUAACUGAUCAUAAUAUGAAACAAGAAAUCAACGAGAAACUUGGUUGGCAAGCUUCAAAGUACAUCGCAUUCCGACCAAACGACCCGUCAAAGGUGUGGAAGGUUCGACCUCUCUCCAACAAGUG